UACGUAGGGGGCGAGCGUUGUCCGGAGUUACUGGGCGUAAAGGGUGCGUAGGUGGCCAAUUAAGUCAAGUGUGAAAUUCCACGGCUCAACUGUGGGAGAGCGCUUGAAACUGGCUGGCUUGAGGUGAGGUCAGGAAGAUGGAAUUGUCAGUGUAGGGGUGAAAUCCGUAGAUAUUGGCAAGAACGCCAGUGGUGAAGGCGGUCUACUGGACUGAUACUGACACUGAGGCACGAAAGCCAGGGGAGCGAACGGG
This 253-nucleotide ribosomal RNA is filed under the name uncultured bacterium. RNAcentral's name for it is "partial 16S ribosomal RNA". It matches the Rfam family "Bacterial small subunit ribosomal RNA", at positions 524 to 776 of the family's 1533-position model. The record is from RNAcentral.